This 1146-nucleotide ribosomal RNA is filed under the name Peltigera scabrosa. Its description in RNAcentral is "SSU rRNA". It matches the Rfam family "Eukaryotic small subunit ribosomal RNA", at positions 128 to 1281 of the family's 1831-position model. Lineage: Eukaryota; Fungi; Ascomycota; Lecanoromycetes; Peltigerales; Peltigeraceae. The record is from RNAcentral.
UNCCUUCCUACUUGGAUACCUGUGGUAAUUCUAGAGCUAAUACAUGCUACAAACCCCAACUCAAGAAGGGGCGUAUUUAUUAGAUAAAAAACCAAUGCCCCUCGGGGCUCACUGGUGAUUCAUAAUAACUUAACGAAUCGCAUGGCCUUGCGCCGGCGAUGGUUCAUUCAAAUUUCUGCCCUAUCAACUUUCGAUGGUAGGAUAGUGGCCUACCAUGGUUUCUACGGGUAACGGGGAAUUAGGGUUCUAUUCCGGAGAGGGAGCCUGAGAAACGGCUACCACAUCCAAGGAAGGCAGCAGGCGCGCAAAUUACCCAAUCCCGACACGGGGAGGUAGUGACAAUAAAUACUGAUGGAGAGCUCUUUUGGGUUUUCUAGUUGGAAUGAGUACAAUUUAAAUUUCUUAACGAGGAACAAUUGGAGGGCAAGUCUGGUGCCAGCAGCCGCGGUAAUUCCAGCUCCAAUAGCGUAUAUUAAAGUUGUUGCAGUUAAAAAGCUCGUAGUUGAAACUCAGGCCUGGCUGGCCGGUCCGCCUCACCGCGAGCACUGGUUCGGCCGGGCUUUUUCCUUCUGGGGAGCCGCAUGCCCUUCACUGGGUGCGUUGGGGAACCAGGACUUUUACUUUGAAAAAAUUAGAGUGUUCAAAGCAGGCAUAUGCUCGGAUACAUUAGCAUGGAAUAAUAGAAUAGGACGUGUGGUUCUAUUUUGUUGGUUUCUAGGACCGCCGUAAUGAUUAAUAGGGAUAGUCGGGGGCAUCAGUAUUCAAUUGUCAGAGGUGAAAUUCUUGGAUUUAUUGAAGACUAACUACUGCGAAAGCAUUUGCCAAGGAUGUUUUCAUUAAUCAGUGAACGAAAGUUAGGGGAUCGAAGACGAUCAGAUACCGUCGUAGUCUUAACCAUAAACUAUGCCGACUAGGGAUCGGACGGUGUUACUAUAUUGACCCGUCCGGCACCUUACGAGAAAUCAAAGUUUUUGGGUUCUGGGGGGAGUAUGGUCGCAAGGCUGAAACUUAAAGACAUUGACGGAAGGGCACCACCAGGCGUGGAGCCUGCGGCUUAAUUUGACUCAACACGGGGAAACUCACCAGGUCCAGACACAUUAAGGAUUGACAGAUUGAGCGUUCUUUCAUGAUCAUGUGGGUGGUGGU